UACGUAGGGGGCAAGCGUUGUCCGGAUUUAUUGGGCGUAAAGGGUGCGCAGGCGGUCUUUUAAGUCAGAUGUGAAAGCUCACGGCUCAACCGUGGUAAGCAUUUGAAACUGGAAGGCUUGAGUUAAGGAGAGGAAAGUGGAAUUCCUAGUGUAGCGGUGAAAUGCGUAGAUAUUAGGAGGAAUACCAGUGGCGAAGGCGACUUUCUGGACUUAUACUGACGCUGAGGCACGAAAGCGUGGGGAGCAAACAGGAUUAGAUACCC
RNAcentral lists this ribosomal RNA (263 nucleotides) under uncultured bacterium. RNAcentral describes it as "partial 16S ribosomal RNA". It matches the Rfam family "Bacterial small subunit ribosomal RNA", at positions 524 to 787 of the family's 1533-position model. The record is from RNAcentral.